AUGAACGCUGGCGGCGUGCCUCAUACCUGCAAGUCGAGCGCACGGACGAGAAGCUUGCUUCUCUGAUGUUAGCGGCGGACGGGUGAGUAACACGUGGAUAACCUACCUAUAAGACUGGGAUAACUUCGGGAAACCGGAGCUAAUACCGGAUAAUAUUUUGAACCGCAUGGUUCAAAAGUAAAAGACGGUCUUGCUGUCACUUAUAGAUGGAUCCGCGCUGCAUUAGCUAGUUGGUAAGGUAACGGCUUACCAAGGCAACGAUGCAUAGCCGACCUGAGAGGGUGAUCGGCCACACUGGAACUGAGACACGGUCCAGACUCCUACGGGAGGCAGCAGUAGGGAAUCUUCCGCAAUGGGCGAAAGCCUGACGGAGCAACGCCGCGUGAGUGAUGAAGGUCUUCGGAUCGUAAAACUCUGUUAUUAGGGAAGAACAUAUGUGUAAGUAACUGUGCACAUCUUGACGGUACCUAAUCAGAAAGCCACGGCUAACUACGUG
RNAcentral lists this ribosomal RNA (496 nucleotides) under uncultured bacterium. RNAcentral's name for it is "partial 16S ribosomal RNA". It matches the Rfam family "Bacterial small subunit ribosomal RNA", at positions 29 to 507 of the family's 1533-position model. The record is from RNAcentral.